UGAUGAAGGUUUUCGGAUCGUAAAGCUCUGUUGUUAGGGAAGAACAAGUGCCGUUCAAAUAGGGCGGCACCUUGACGGUACCUAACCAGAAAGCCACGGCUAACUACGUGCCAGCAGCCGCGGUAAUACGUAGGUGGCAAGCGUUGUCCGGAAUUAUUGGGCGUAAAGGGCUCGCAGGCGGUUUCUUAAGUCUGAUGUGAAAGCCCCCGGCUCAACCGGGGAGGGUCAUUGGAAACUGGGGAACUUGAGUGCAGAAGAGGAGAGUGGAAUUCCACGUGUAGCGGUGAAAUGCGUAGAGAUGUGGAGGAACACCAGUGGCGAAGGCGACUCUCUGGUCUGUAACUGACGCUGAGGAGCGAAAGCGUGGGGAGCGAACAGGAUUAGAUACCCUGGUAGUCCACGCCGUAAACGAUGAGUGCUAAGUGUUAGGGGGUUUCCGCCCCUUAGUGCUGCAGCUAACGCAUUAAGCACUCCGCCUGGGGAGUACGGUCGCAGGACUGAAACUCAAUGAAUUGACGGA
Molecule: ribosomal RNA, 520 nt
Filed under: Bacillus sp. NO9(2012)
Lineage: Bacteria; Bacillati; Bacillota; Bacilli; Caryophanales; Bacillaceae
Description: bacterial SSU rRNA
Rfam family: Bacterial small subunit ribosomal RNA
Source: RNAcentral